RNAcentral lists this transfer RNA (68 nucleotides) under Cryptochiton stelleri (gumboot chiton). Its description in RNAcentral is "tRNA-Pro". The record is from RNAcentral. Lineage: Eukaryota; Metazoa; Mollusca; Polyplacophora; Chitonida; Mopaliidae.
CAGAUAGUAGUUUAAUAAAAAAUAUCGGCAUUGGAAGCUGAAGUUCAAAAUUAUUGUUUGUUAUCUGA